UGCAAGUCGAACGGUGAGGAUCACUUCUGGUCUGAUCAGUGGCGAACGGGUGAGUAACACGUGAGUDACCUGCCCCUUACUUCGGGAUAACUGCUGGAAACGGUGGCUAAUACCGGAUAUGACUGCUUGCCGCAUGGUGGGUGGUGGAAAGUUUUUCGGUGAGGGAUGGGCUCGCGGCCUAUCAGCUUGUUGGUGGGGUGAUGGCCUACCAAGGCGACGACGGGUAGCCGGCCUGAGAGGGCGACCGGCCACACUGGGACUGAGACACGGCCCAGACUCCUACGGGAGGCAGCAGUGGGGAAUAUUGCACAAUGGGCGCAAGCCUGAUGCAGCGACGCCGCGUGGAGGAUGACGGCCUUCGGGUUGUAAACUCCUUUCAGCAGGGAAGAAGCGCAAGUGACGGUACCUGCAGAAGAAGCGCCGGCUAACUACGUGCCAGCAGCCGCGGUAAUACGUAGGGCGCAAGCGUUGUCCGGAAUUAUUGGGCGUAAAGAGCUCGUAGGCGGUGUGUCGCGUCUGCUGUGAAAACUCAAGGCUCAACCUUGGGCUUGCAGUGGGUACGGGCACACUAGAGUGCGGUAGGGGUGACUGGAAUUCCUGGUGUAGCGGUGGAAUGCGCAGAUAUCAGGAGGAACACCGAUGGCGAAGGCAGGUCACUGGGCCGCAACUGACGCUGAGGAGCGAAAGCAUGGGGAGCGAACAGGAUUAGAUACCCUGGUAGUCCAUGCCGUAAACGUUGGGCACUAGGUGUGGGACCCAUUCCACGGGUUCUGUGCCGCAGCAAACGCAUUAAGUGCCCCGCCUGGGGAGUACGGCCGCAAGGCUAAAACUCAAAGAAAUUGACGGGGGCCCGCACAAGCGGCGGAGCAUGCGGAUUAAUUCGAUGCAACGCGAAGAACCUUACCAAGGCUUGACAUGUACCGGAAACAUCCAGAGAUGGGUGCCCCGUAAGGUCGGUGCACAGGUGGUGCAUGGUUGUCGUCAGCUCGUGUCGUGAGAUGUUGGGUUAAGUCCCGCAACGAGCGCAACCCUCGUCCCAUGUUGCCAGCGGGUUAUGCUGGGCACUCUAUCGGGACUGCCCGGGUUAACCGGGAGGAAGGUGGGGAUGAUGUCAAGUCAUCGUGGCCUUUAUGCCCAGGGCGACACGCGUCAUACAGUGGCCGUUACAACGGGCAGCUACAUCGCGAGAUGAUGCUAAUCCCUUAAAGGCGGCCAUGGUUCGGAUUGCAGGCUGCAACUCGCCUGCAUGAAGAUGGAAUCGCUAGUAAUCACAGAUCAGCCAUGCUGUGGUGAAUGCGUUCUCGGGGCUUGUACACACCGCCCGUCACGCCAUGGAAGUCGUGGGCGCCCGAAGAUGUGGUGUCUAACCUCGUGAGGACCUGCAUUGAGGGUGACUCGGUAACUGGGGCGAGUCGUAACAAGGUAGCCG
RNAcentral lists this ribosomal RNA (1429 nucleotides) under uncultured bacterium. Its description in RNAcentral is "bacterial SSU rRNA". It matches the Rfam family "Bacterial small subunit ribosomal RNA". The record is from RNAcentral.